CGGAGGGUGCAAGCGUUAUCCGGAUUUAUUGGGUUUAAAGGGUGCGUAGGUGGCCCUGUAAGUCAGUGGUGAAAUAUCUCAGCUUAACUGAGAGGGUGCCAUUGAUACUGCAGGGCUUGAGUACAGAUGAGGUAGGCGGAAUUGACGGUGUAGCGGUGAAAUGCAUAGAUAUCGUCAAGAACACCGAUAGCGAAGGCAGCUUACCAAGCUGUAACUGACACUGAGGCACGAAAGUGUGGGGAUCAAACAGGAUUAGAUACCCUGGUAGUCCACACUGUAAACGUUGAUGACUCGAUGUUGGCGAUACACAGCCAGCGUCCAAGAGCAAUCGUUAAGUCAUCCACCUGGGGAGUACGCCGGCAACGGUG
Molecule: ribosomal RNA, 368 nt
Filed under: uncultured organism
Description: bacterial SSU rRNA
Rfam family: Bacterial small subunit ribosomal RNA
Source: RNAcentral